Molecule: ribosomal RNA, 516 nt
Filed under: uncultured bacterium
Lineage: Bacteria
Description: bacterial SSU rRNA
Rfam family: Bacterial small subunit ribosomal RNA
Source: RNAcentral
GAUCAGCCAUGCCGCGUGCAGGAGACGGCCUUCUGGUUGGUAAACUCUUUUUAUACGGGAAAAAACCUCCCCAUUUAUGGGUGAGCUGACGGUACUGUACGAAUAAGCACCGGCUAACUCCCUGCCGGCCGCCGCGGUAAUACGGAGGGUGGGGGCGUUAUCCGGAUUCACUGGGUUUAAAGGGUGCGUAGGCAGAUUGUUAAGUCAGUGGUGAAAUCAACGGGCUCAACCUGUUAACUGCCUUUGAUACUGAUGGUCUUGAAUAUGAGGGAGGCAGGGGGAAUGUUUCAUGUUUGGAUGAAAUGCUUAGAUAUACUACGGAACACCGAUUGCGAAGGCAGCUUGCUACUUCAUGAUUGACGCUGAGGCACGAAAGCGUGGGGAGCGAACAGGAUUAUAUACCCUGGUGGUCCCCCCCCUAAACAAUGAUUACUCUACGUUGUCGAUAAACUGAUCAGUGUCUGACCGAAAGCGUUAAGUAAUCCACCUGGGGAGUACGCCCGCAAGGGUGAAACU